GAUGAACGCUAGCGGCAGGCCUAACACAUGCAAGUCGAGGGGCAGCACAGAAACAGCAAUGUUUUGGUGGCGACCGGCGGACGGGUGCGUAACGCGUAUGCAACCUACCUUUAACAGGGGGAUAACGGAGAGAAAUUUCCACUAAUACCCCAUAACAUCGAUCAAGGCAUCUUGAUUGGUUGAAAACUCCGGUGGUUAAAGAUGGGCAUGCGUUGUAUUAGGUAGUUGGUGAGGUAAUGGCUCACCAAGCCUACGAUACAUAGGGGAACUGCGAGGUUAGCCCCCCACACUGGUACUGAGACACGGACCAGACUCCUACGGGAGGCAGAAGUGAGGAAUAUUGGUCAAUGGGGCAACCCUGAACCAGCCAUGCCGCGUGCAGGAAGACGGCUCUAUGAGUUGUAAACUGCUUUUAAACAGGGAUAAAGCACAGUAUGUAUACUGUGUUGAAGGUACUGUAAGAAUAAGGAUCGGCUAACUCCGUGCCAGCAGCCGCGGUAA
This 501-nucleotide ribosomal RNA is filed under the name uncultured bacterium. RNAcentral describes it as "partial 16S ribosomal RNA". It matches the Rfam family "Bacterial small subunit ribosomal RNA", at positions 28 to 523 of the family's 1533-position model. The record is from RNAcentral.